RNAcentral lists this ribosomal RNA (253 nucleotides) under uncultured bacterium. RNAcentral describes it as "partial 16S ribosomal RNA". It matches the Rfam family "Bacterial small subunit ribosomal RNA", at positions 524 to 776 of the family's 1533-position model. The record is from RNAcentral.
UACGUAGGGUGCAAGCGUUAAUCGGAAUUACUGGGCGUAAAGCGUACGCAGGCGGCUAUGUAAGACAGGUGUGAAAUCCCCGGGCCUAACCUGGGAACUGCAUUUGUGACUGCAUAGCUAGAGUCCGUCAGAGGGGGGUGGAAUUCCACGUGUAGCAGUGAAAUGCGUAGAGAUGUGGAGGAACACCAGUGGCGAAGGCGGCCCGCUGGGCAGUGGCUGACGCUGAGGCGCGACAGCGUGGGGAGCAAACAGG